CAUGGUAAGCAUCUCAGUUCCCUUUGCUCCCACUCCUGUCUCCUUGUUCUUAUUCAAACUGGUGUUGUGAUAGUUUUCCUUUCAAAUCAUGUGUUCUGAUUUGUGUUGAAAUCACAGGUUGGCAAGGGCGGUGGUGAGAAGUGGAAGUAUCUUGAGUGAUGUUGUAAGUUACCCGCUCCCCAAUCCCCUCUCAGUUACUGCUCUAUUCAGUGUUGGUCUCUUUCGCCUGAUCUCAGUGUUUGCUCGAUGAUGCGAUGAAAUUUUGGCGGACUGUGAGUUGGUUUCCAUGUUUCUGUGUAGCUGCACCAUGUCAUUUGGGUAUUGUUUUACCCAGUUGGUCAGUGAUAUUUAGAAUUUAGUCGCUAUGUAAUUGUUGAUCUACUUCCUAUUCUCAAUGGUUGUUCAAAUUUAUGGUUUGCUGUGUUCAAAUGUCUGUAGCCUUGUAGCCUUGUUAGAAUCUGUAUAGUCUGUGCUCAUUGAUUCAAACUGCUGCUCGAAUUUGUUUCCAAAUCUACCAUUCCAUUUCGCAUGAUUUGUUCAACUAUUCUUCUUUUGUUAAUACUUAUCCUAGAAUCUAUUGCCUUGCACCACAUUAACAUCUCCUCUGUUUGAAUGAAUUGCAGGAGAAGGCUCCCUAAUUGCCAAGGCCAAGUACACCAAGAAGAUCGACACCUACAACAACCCAAUGGUAUAACAUUCACGUCAAACACCUUCAUCAGAAUCGUAGCCAUGUGAUAUUAACACAACAUUGUGGUAUUGAUCCAUGUUCUUUCGUGCCCAUCCCUAUUUUCAUUUCAGGAAGGAGAGGCAUCCGACGACUCUGACAAGUCCCAGUCUGAGGUGAGCGACGAGGACGACGAAAGCAAUGUGAGACCAUCCUGAUCCAUCCGCCAACUUUUUCCCCAUGAUCCCCUAACUGCUCAACAUGUUAUGUUCUGAAUAUCUGAAAACUUUUUGUGUGUAGGGGGACUUGUGAUGCGGCACGCAAAGCAGCAGCAGGGGGAGGGGGUCUCUGAAAUGUUGCUGCUUUCGCUCAUUUCUAGUGUCACCGAUUGAUGAUGGAUGGUUGCUGUUAGUUUAGCUCCUUAGUAGUACCUCCUAGUCUUUUAGGCGGCUGCUGCUGGUACCUAUAGUCUGUUCACCGAUUGAUGAUGGAUUGUUGAAU
Molecule: long non-coding RNA, 1165 nt
Filed under: Triticum aestivum (bread wheat)
Lineage: Eukaryota; Viridiplantae; Streptophyta; Magnoliopsida; Poales; Poaceae
Description: long non-coding RNA (TAES_LNC000474)
Source: RNAcentral